UGUAACUAUGAUGCCUACUAACUUGUUA
RNAcentral lists this non-coding RNA (28 nucleotides) under Mus musculus (house mouse). The record is from RNAcentral. Lineage: Eukaryota; Metazoa; Chordata; Mammalia; Rodentia; Muridae.